Molecule: ribosomal RNA, 253 nt
Filed under: uncultured bacterium
Lineage: Bacteria
Description: partial 16S ribosomal RNA
Rfam family: Bacterial small subunit ribosomal RNA
Source: RNAcentral
UACAGAGGUGGCAAGCGUUGUUCGGAAUUACUGGGCGUAAAGCGCGUGUAGGCGGCUCUUCAAGUCAGGCGUGAAAGCCCCGGGCUCAACUCGGGAACUGCGCUUGAUACUGUCGAGCUAGAGUGUGGAAGGGGCGAUUGGAAUUCCGUGUGUAGCGGUGAAAUGCGUAGAUAUGCGGAGGAACACCUAUGGCGAAGGCAAUCCCCUGGGCCUGCACUGACGCUCAUGCACGAAAGCGUGGGGAGCAAACAGG